RNAcentral lists this long non-coding RNA (206 nucleotides) under Fukomys damarensis (Damara mole-rat). RNAcentral describes it as "lncRNA (ENSFDAG00000027732.1)". Lineage: Eukaryota; Metazoa; Chordata; Mammalia; Rodentia; Bathyergidae. The record is from RNAcentral.
CCUGUAAGGAGCAGAGACAAUAAUCUAACCUGGAUUCUCUGACUGGAAGAUUUGUUCUCUUGCUACUGCAUCAGACUUGGAGCACCACACCUGUGGCCACUCUUUCUCUGUCACCCCUCAUACUGAAAGGACAAGUACUUCAUACAUAAUGCCAAAUGUGAGAGCGGGAGGAUUAUGCAUCUUCAGUCACUGCUGUGGAACUUUCG